CAAAGUGCUGAGAUUACAGGCAUGAGCCACCUCGCCCAGCUGUUUUUAAUUCUCUAAGUUAUCAUUUGCCAUCUCCUUGGCCCUUUGUAGUAAUUCCCCUCCCUUUUUUGUUUUUCUGUGUCCAUCUUUCCCAUUCCAAAUACUUGAUGUAAAGGGAGAUUCCACCUUGAAAACCAGAGUUCCAGUCCUGGCUUGCUGCUACACUCUACUGCUGACCUUGAUCUUGACCUUGACCUUGUCUGCAUUUAUUUCUUUGAUGAGGAGGGCAGACAGAAAAACAUUGCUAUAGUGCUUAAUUUUUUUUUAUUACAAAAGAAAAUGAAGAAAAUAAUUCAAACUAUAGCAGAAACAUGAAAAAGGGAAAAGUGAGUCUUCACUAUUUGUCUCCUUCAGUAACCAUAUUUAUUUGGGUAUAUUCUUGCAUGUUUUUACGGCAAAAACAAAUUCAACAGAUAUAUAUAUAUACUAUUAUGGAACCCUUUUUAUUUUCCUUUGAACUUAACUACGUAGCAUUCUCUGAUAAGUAAUGUAAGCUCCAGACAGCAAGGAUUUUUGACUGCUUCAUUCACUGCUAUAUUUCUGGAGACUAGAAUACUGUUUGGCAUAAAGUAGGUGCCAACAAAUAUUCACUGAACGCACCAGACGUGGUGGCUCACGGCUGUAAUCCUAGCACUUUGGGAGGCCAAGACGAGCAGAUCACUUGAGGCCAGGAGUUCAAGACCAGCCUGACCAACAUGGUGAAACCCCGUCUCUAUUAAAAAUACAAAAAUUAGCCAGGUAUGGGGGCGCAUACCUGUAAUUCCAGCUACUCCAGUGAGUAUCUGGACAGGGGAAUCGCUUAAACCUAGGAGGCGAAGGCUGCAAUGAGCCAAGAUUGCACCACUGCACUCCAGCCUGAGCAACAGAGUGAGACUCUGUCUCAAAAAAAAAAAACUUAAAAAUUAAAAAAAAAAAAAAAAACAGAAGGGGACCAAAUAUACACAUCCCUGGCUCCAUGGAACUCCCAGUUGACCUGACGGAAAAAAAAAAAAAGAAGAAGUAGUAUAUAUACAUAUA
This 1056-nucleotide long non-coding RNA is filed under the name Homo sapiens (human). Its description in RNAcentral is "non-protein coding lnc-ITK-5:1". The record is from RNAcentral. Lineage: Eukaryota; Metazoa; Chordata; Mammalia; Primates; Hominidae.